Molecule: ribosomal RNA, 400 nt
Filed under: uncultured bacterium
Lineage: Bacteria
Description: bacterial SSU rRNA
Rfam family: Bacterial small subunit ribosomal RNA
Source: RNAcentral
GAAUCUUAGACAAUGGGCGCAAGCCUGAUCUAGCCAUGCCGCGUGAGUGAUGAAGGCCCUAGGGUCGUAAAGCUCUUUCGCCUGUGAAGAUAAUGACGGUAGCAGGUAAAGAAACCCCGGCUAACUCCGUGCCAGCAGCCGCGGUAAUACGGAGGGGGUUAGCGUUGUUCGGAAUUACUGGGCGUAAAGCGCGCGUAGGCGGAUCAGAAAGUUGGGGGUGAAAUCCCGGGGCUCAACCCCGGAACUGCCUCCAAAACUCCUGGUCUUGAGUUCGAGAGAGGUGAGUGGAAUUCCGAGUGUAGAGGUGAAAUUCGUAGAUAUUCGGAGGAACACCAGUGGCGAAGGCGGCUCACUGGCUCGAUACUGACGCUGAGGUGCGAAAGUGUGGGGAGCAAACAGG